UCUGUUCCCCUCCUUCACUUUGAUCUGGACCUUCUUUUUCAUUUAACUCUGUUGCUCCUACCCUGCCCCUCUCCUAUUCCACUCCCAGAAGUUUAUCCUGUGUGGUUCUGUUCUGAAAGGAAGUCCUGUUGGGCCUGUUUCAAGGGUUCAGAGAGAUUUGGCUGCUCCAGCCCGUUGAAGGCCUUACUCCUGACCCCUUACACUCACCCACUAUCGGAAUUUCUACUGCUAUUCUCAAAUCAGGCCGCUGCACUUGACGAGACAAGAAGUUUACAAUUCAUACUUGGGACAGUGCCAUAGGAUCCUUCCUCAUGGAUAUCUGGCUUCUUUAUUCAAUGGGAUCAAACAGUAAAUUGGAUCAGUUUCUGGAAAUUGGGAAGACCAUAAUGCAUAACCUCAUUCUUGAUGAUUACCACUAUAUUCCUGCCACUUACAUGGGAGACAGUUACUGCUGCCAUUUGUCCUCUGCCACUCCAGAAUUCUAUCAUCACAACGGAACUCAGAGAGCCUGUUUCUAUAGCAGUAUCUCCUACAUAAGACAGCCCUACCAGCUGGGUGCAGUAGCUCAUGCUGGUAACCCCAACACUUUGGGAGGCCGAGGUGGGAGGAUUGCUUGAGCCCAGUAGUUCAAGACCAGC
Long non-coding RNA from Rhinopithecus roxellana (golden snub-nosed monkey), 638 nucleotides. RefSeq lists it as uncharacterized. The record is from RefSeq and is a predicted model, not a curated record. The transcript has 3 exons. NCBI's taxonomy places the organism in Eukaryota, Metazoa, Chordata, Mammalia, Primates, Cercopithecidae.